Molecule: ribosomal RNA, 559 nt
Filed under: uncultured bacterium
Lineage: Bacteria
Description: partial 16S ribosomal RNA
Rfam family: Bacterial small subunit ribosomal RNA
Source: RNAcentral
UAGGGAAUCUUCCACAAUGGACGCAAGUCUGAUGGAGCAACGGCCGCGUGAGUGAAGAAGGUUUUCGGACCGUAAAGCUCUGUUGUUGGUGAAGAAGGAUAGAGGUAGUAACUGGCCUUUAUUUGACGGUAAUCAACCAGAAAGUCACGGCUAACUACGUGCCAGCAGCCGCGGUAAUCGUAGGUGGCAAGCGUUGUCCGGAUUUAUUGGGCGUAAAGCGAGCGCAGGCGGAAGAAUAAGUCUGAUGUGAAAGCCCUCGGCUUAACCGAGGAAUUGCAUCGGAAACUGUUUUCUUGAGUGCAGAAGAGGAGAGUAGAACUCCAUGUGUAGCGGCGGAAUGCGUAGAUAUAUGGAAGAAUACCAGUGGCGAAGGCGGCUCUCUGGUCUGCAACUGACGCUGAGGCUCGAAAGCAUGGGUAGCGAACAGGAUUAGAUACCCUGGUAGUCCAUGCCGUAAACGAUGAGUGCUAAGUGUUGGGAGGCUUCCGCCUCUCAGUGCUGCAGCUAACGCAUUAAGCACUCCGCCUGGGGGAGUACGACCGCAAGGUUGAAACUCUAA